Molecule: ribosomal RNA, 415 nt
Filed under: uncultured microorganism
Description: bacterial SSU rRNA
Rfam family: Archaeal small subunit ribosomal RNA
Source: RNAcentral
GUGCAGCAGGCGAGAAAACUUCACACUGUGCGAAAGCACGAUGAGGGAAUCCCAAGUGCUUGCACGUAAGUGUAAGCUGUUUCUCUGUUUAAAACGCAGAGAGAGUAAGGGCUGGGUAAGACGGGUGCCAGCCGCCGCGGUAAUACCUGCAGCUCAAGUGGUGACCGUUAUUAUUGGGCCUAAAACGUCCGUAGCCGGUUUAAUAAAUGCCUGGGUAAAUCGUGUAGCUUAACUAUACGAAUUCCGGGUAGACUGUUAAACUCGAGACCGGGAGAAGUUAGAGGUACUCCUGGGGUAGAGGUGAAAUUCUGUAAUCCUAGGGGGACCACCAGUGGCGAAGGCGUCUAACUAGAACGGGUCUGACGGUGAGGGACGAAGCCCUGGGGCGCAAACGGGGAUUAGAUACCCGGGUAGU